Molecule: ribosomal RNA, 254 nt
Filed under: uncultured bacterium
Lineage: Bacteria
Description: partial 16S ribosomal RNA
Rfam family: Bacterial small subunit ribosomal RNA
Source: RNAcentral
UACGUAGGGUGCGAGCGUUGUCCGGAAUUAUUGGGCGUAAAGAGCUCGUAGGCGGUGUGUCGCGUCGGCCGUGAAAACCUGCAGCUUAACUGUGGGCUUGCGGUCGAUACGGGCAUCACUGGAGUUCGGCAGGGGAGACUGGAAUUCCUGGUGUAGCGGUGAAAUGCGCAGAUAUCAGGAGGAACACCGGUGGCGAAGGCGGGUCUCUGGGCAAUUCCUGACGCUGAGGCGCGAAAGCGUGGGGAGCAAACGGG